Molecule: ribosomal RNA, 2409 nt
Filed under: Triticum aestivum (bread wheat)
Lineage: Eukaryota; Viridiplantae; Streptophyta; Magnoliopsida; Poales; Poaceae
Description: partial small subunit ribosomal RNA
Source: RNAcentral
AUGACCAAAAGUUUUGGGGUGUGCAACCUUGAGAUGGUUGACAAGCAGGUUGACUCAGGACAGAGACGGAUGAGUGAAUCAAGUUGGUGGCCUCAAGUCCUUGGAGAAAAGAGGAGGCAAUCAAGGGCAAGGUUGACUCAACCCAAGCCAGGCCAAGCCAAGCCGGCCGGCCUGCAGCUACCAAACAGCGACAGACAGAGAUUUGAAUGGGCAGGGAUAUUAUGUGCAGUUAGGCUUAAGCCGCUCCAUAAGUCACGUAGUAGAUCUCCACCGGCCGGCGGCUAUCUCGUCGCCGGCGAUCUCGUCGGACAGCGGGCGCGACAACGUCGUGAAUCUCCAACGAUCGCGCACAGGUACCGCAUCCCGCGUCCCCCCUCUAGUCUUGCUCGCGGCAACAUCGAACGAACUGCCGCCGCGCCAGUGGCAGUGGUUAACCUAGCGGAGCGGGAAAUGGCAGACGAGGAGUUAACUGAUAUCAUGGUAGACAUGGAGUUUGGAGAACUGAUGAAAGACUGGAUAGAAGAUUGGUCAGAUGAUGAAAAUUCAGAUCGUCAAGAUCGGUCAGAGAAUGGGAACGAAUGGGACGAUCUUAAUAUGGAUGAGCUUGAUGAUGAUCAGGAAAACAACUCGGAGCUCUGGAAUGGAGAUUUCAUUAGUCAGUUUAUUUCCGAAUGUCAUAAUGCGUACGACUAUUACGGUGAAUCCGACGUGGAGACAGACCUUAACGACGAAUCAUUAGAUGCACCUGGUUCUGGGGAGUCCGAGUCGUCGGUCAUCAUGAGUGAGGUGACAGAAGAUGGUGGGGUAAUGAAUGUCCAAGAUACUGCCAGUGCAGAUGAUAGGAGGGAUAUGUUCAUGCAGAUAAUGGACAUGACUUUUAUGACUCACGAUGCUGCGUAUGAUUUCUACAACAGCUAUGCUAGAGCUAAUGGUUUCAGCAUUAGGAAGAAUAAGGUCAGCAAGUUGCUAACCGAGGAAGGGCACAGCCGUCGGCUCAGAGCCGAGACACGCUGCUUUUGCGAAGCACACCUGACAGUCAAGCUUGACCAAAAGCGUGGGGUUUGGUAUGUUGCAAGUUUUGAGGACAAGUAUAGCCAUAUGUUGGCAGGACCGGACGAGGUACCUUUUCUUUGGUCCCACAGAAAAAUCAAAGAGUUUCAGAAGCAUGAGAUAAUGUCCAUGGGAGCUGCAGGGAUUAGAAUUCACGACAUGAUGGAUUGCCUCAUCAGCAAACAUGUAUGGUAUGUCGGUGUUGGUUUUACCAGGCGUGAAAUAUACAACCUUUGUGCCAGGGAGAAGAGGAAGCUGCUUUCAAAAGGUGAUGUUGCCACAGCCAUAGGCAUCAUGACCAGUAGGAAACAGAGGGAUCCUAGCUUCUUUUUCGAGUACAUGCUAGAUAAGGAAGGACACUUGAAUAGGAUGUUCUGGUGUGACUCCCAGUCUCGUCAUGACUAUGAGGACUUUGGCGACGUGCUUGUAUUUGACUGCACGUACAAGAUGAACCGCUAUGGUAUGCCAUUCAUACCUUUUGUUGGUCUUAACAAUCACCUGAAGACCACUGUUUUUGGUUGUGCCAUAGUUUUGGACGAGACCGAACAGACAUACGUGUGGCUGUUGCAGACUUUUUUGAGGUCCAUGUGUCAAAAGAUGCCGAAGAGUGUAAUCACAGAUGCCGACGCUGCGAUGAUCAAGGCAAUUCGUGAAGUCUUGCCAGACGUGUGGCACCGUAUAUUAACAUGGUUGAGACGGAUGUAUAAGAAGAGGAGACUGUGGGCCGCGGCUUAUCUGACAGAGGGGUUUUGGCUUGGCAUGAAAAGCAACCAGCGGAGUGAAAGCCUAAACUCAUGCCUUCACCUCCACCUAGACGGUGAAAUGACCCUGGUGGAUAUGAUUUUGCAUUAUGAGAACGCCGUUGUAUGUAUCCAUGAAAACGAGGCGCGAGAUGACUGCACGACCUCACAGAGUUUACCGGUGCCAGUUACUAUCUCGAGGGAACUUGAGAUAGCUGCUUCUCACGUCUUCACUCCAGCAAACUUCUAUAUGUUGCAAGAUGAUCUUAGAAAAAUUGAUGGCAUGGAGAUUGUAGAAAUCAAGCUGGGAGACGGAUCACAGCAGUACAUCGUGGCCUGGAAGAAUAACCGGAAUAGCCGUUUUUGGGUGGAGUGUACAGCAUGUUUAGUUCUUGUUCGGUUCACGAAACAAGCAAGGUUGGGACUGCCUGCGAGGCGCACAAGCGAUCUGUUGGGAUAUGGUUGGACCGGGGCAGAGGAAAGAAUGAAAUAUAGCCAGACGAUGGUGAAGGCAACAUGGUCGCAGUUAAAGAUCCAUGAAAGUGUCCAGCAAAGGUGCAACAAAGAACAGUGGAGAAGGAAGAAGUGUAGAACACUUGCUUCAAUUUUUUACGGAUAA